GGAGAAGCAAAGUGAUGUACAUUACUACCUGGAGCCCCAAAGAGGCACAUGUGUGUGUGUGUAUGCGUGUGUGUAUCCUUGUCUGUGCAUGCACACGUACGUCUGAGAGUGUGAAUGUGUGUGACUGGUUGUAGGGAAACUAGUUAUGUGCCUUCUGUUGGACUGUGACAGUGAAACUGAUAAGAUCUGAUUGCUUC
Small nucleolar RNA from Mustela lutreola (European mink), 197 nucleotides. RefSeq annotates it as small nucleolar RNA ZL1. The record is from RefSeq and is a predicted model, not a curated record. The transcript has a single exon. NCBI's taxonomy places the organism in Eukaryota, Metazoa, Chordata, Mammalia, Carnivora, Mustelidae.